RNAcentral lists this non-coding RNA (23 nucleotides) under Mus musculus (house mouse). The record is from RNAcentral. Lineage: Eukaryota; Metazoa; Chordata; Mammalia; Rodentia; Muridae.
UAGAGUACACCUGGGCAGCUCUA